Molecule: ribosomal RNA, 371 nt
Filed under: uncultured organism
Description: bacterial SSU rRNA
Rfam family: Bacterial small subunit ribosomal RNA
Source: RNAcentral
CAGAGGGGGCAAGCGUUGUUCGGAAUUACUGGGCGUAAAGGGCGCGUAGGCGGCCUGUUAAGUCGAACGUGAAAUCCCCGGGCUCAACCCGGGAACUGCGUCCGAUACUGGCAGGCUUGAAUCCGGGAGAGGGAUGCGGAAUUCCAGGUGUAGCGGUGAAAUGCGUAGAUAUCUGGAGGAACACCGGUGGCGAAGGCGGCAUCCUGGACCGGCAUUGACGCUGAGGCGCGAAAGCCAGGGGAGCAAACGGGAUUAGAUACCCCGGUAGUCCUGGCCCUAAACGAUGAAUGCUUGGUGUGGCGGGUAUCGAUCCCUGCCGUGCCGAAGCUAACGCAUUAAGCAUUCCGCCUGGGGAUACGGUCGCAAGGCUG